This 566-nucleotide ribosomal RNA is filed under the name Admetula affluens. Its description in RNAcentral is "partial 12S ribosomal RNA". Lineage: Eukaryota; Metazoa; Mollusca; Gastropoda; Neogastropoda; Cancellariidae. The record is from RNAcentral.
CGGUUAUACCAAGAGGUCAAGUUAUAUUUUUAAGGUAAAAAUGUAGUUAAAUGUAGAAUAGAUUAGUUUGAUGAUUUUUUAUAAGAAAGUGAAAUUUAAAUAUAAAAGAAUAAACCAAAAAUAACUUAAUAGAUUGAAUCUACGAUAACUUUGAGGGAAACUGGGAUUUGAUACCCCAUUAUUCUAAGUUGUAAAUUAAUUUAAAGUUUACCAGAGUACUAUGAAUAGCUUUUAAAUUUAAAACUCAAAGGGCUUGGCGGUGUUUUAGACCUCUUAGGGGAACCUGUCUCGUAAUCGAUGAUCCACGUUAGACCUGACCUUUUUUUGCUAUCAGUUUAUACACCGUUGUCAUCAGGUAACUUUUUAAAAAAAUUAAGUUAGCAAUAAAAUUGAUAAUAAAUUAAGAUGUCAAAUCAAGGUGCAGCUUAUAAAAAGGAGAUGAUGGGUUACAAUUAAAAUUUAUAAGAUGGAUUAAAUAAUGAAAUUUAUUUAUGAAAUAGGACUUAAAAGUAAAAUAAUGUAUAUAAAUAAUUUGAAUUAGGCUCUGAAAUGUGUACUAACCCCCG